GAUGAACGCUGGCGGCGUGCCUAAUACAUGCAAGUCGAGCGAACGGACGAGAAGCUUGCUUCUCUGAUGUUAGCGGCGGACGGGUGAGUAACACGUGGAUAACCUACCUAUAAGACUGGGAUAACUUCGGGAAACCGGAGCUAAUACCGGAUAAUAUUUUGAACCGCAUGGUUCAAAAGUGAAAGACGGUCUUGCUGUCACUUAUAGAUGGAUCCGCGCUGCAUUAGCUAGUUGGUAAGGUAACGGCUUACCAAGGCAACGAUGCAUAGCCGACCUGAGAGGGUGAUCGGCCACACUGGAACUGAGACACGGUCCAGACUCCUACGGGAGGCAGCAGUAGGGAAUCUUCCGCAAUGGGCGAAAGCCUGACGGAGCAACGCCGCGUGAGUGAUGAAGGUCUUCGGAUCGUAAAACUCUGUUAUUAGGGAAGAACAUAUGUGUAAGUAACUGUGCACAUCUUGACGGUACCUAAUCAGAAAGCCACGGCUAACUACGUGCCAGCAGCCGCGGUAAUACGUAGGUGGCAAGCGUUAUCCGGAAUUAUUGGGCGUAAAGCGCGCGUAGGCGGUUUUUUAAGUCUGAUGUGAAAGCCCACGGCUCAACUCGUGGAGGGUCAUUGGAAACUGGAAAACUUGAGUGCAGAAGAGGAAAGUGGAAUUCCAUGUGUAGCGGUGAAAUGCGCAGAGAUAUGGAGGAACACCAGUGGCGAAGGCGACUUUCUGGUCUGUAACUGACGCUGAUGUGCGAAAGCGUGGGGAUCAAACAGGAUUAGAUACCCUGGUAGUCCACGCCGUAAACGAUGAGUGCUAAGUGUUAGGGGGUUUCCGCCCCUUAGUGCUGCAGCUAACGCAUUAAGCACUCCGCCUGGGGAGUACGACCGCAAGGUUGAAACUCAAAGGAAUUGACGGGGACCCGCACAAGCGGUGGAGCAUGUGGUUUAAUUCGAAGCAACGCGAAGAACCUUACCAAAUCUUGACAUCCUUUGACAACUCUAGAGAUAGAGCCUUCCCCUUCGGGGGACAAAGUGACAGGUGGUGCAUGGUUGUCGUCAGCUCGUGUCGUGAGAUGUUGGGUUAAGUCCCGCAACGAGCGCAACCCUUAAGCUUAGUUGCCAUCAUUAAGUUGGGCACUCUAAGUUGACUGCCGGUGACAAACCGGAGGAAGGUGGGGAUGACGUCAAAUCAUCAUGCCCCUUAUGAUUUGGGCUACACACGUGCUACAAUGGACAAUACAAAGGGCAGCGAAACCGCGAGGUCAAGCAAAUCCCAUAAAGUUGUUCUCAGUUCGGAUUGUAGUCUGCAACUCGACUACAUGAAGCUGGAAUCGCUAGUAAUCGUAGAUCAGCAUGCUACGGUGAAUACGUUCCCGGGUCU
This 1373-nucleotide ribosomal RNA is filed under the name uncultured bacterium. Its description in RNAcentral is "bacterial SSU rRNA". It matches the Rfam family "Bacterial small subunit ribosomal RNA", at positions 28 to 1381 of the family's 1533-position model. The record is from RNAcentral.